CUACGGGGGGCUCCAGUGAGGAAUAUUGCACAAUGGGGGGAACCCUGAUGCAGCAACGCCGCGUGGAGGAUGACGCAUUUCGGUGUGUAAACUCCUUUUAUAUGUCAAGAAAAUGACGGUAGCAUAUGAAUAAGCACCGGCUAACUCCGUGCCAGCAGCCGCGGUGAAUACGGAGGGCGCAAGCGUUACUCGGAAUCACUGGGCGUAAAGGACGCGUAGGCGGGUUGAAAAGUCAGGUGUGAAAGCCUACAGCUUAACUGUAGAACUGCACUUGAAACUCUCAAUCUAGAGUAUGGGAGGGGCAGAUGGAAUUAGUGGUGUAGGGGUAAAAUCCGUAGAUAUCACUAGGAAUACCUAAAGCGAAGGCGAUCUGCUGGAACAUUACUGACGCUAAGGCGUGAAAGCGUGGGGAGCAAACAGGAUUAGAUACCCCGGUAGUC
RNAcentral lists this ribosomal RNA (440 nucleotides) under uncultured bacterium. RNAcentral's name for it is "partial 16S ribosomal RNA". It matches the Rfam family "Bacterial small subunit ribosomal RNA", at positions 339 to 795 of the family's 1533-position model. The record is from RNAcentral.